Molecule: ribosomal RNA, 301 nt
Filed under: uncultured bacterium
Lineage: Bacteria
Description: partial 16S ribosomal RNA
Rfam family: Bacterial small subunit ribosomal RNA
Source: RNAcentral
CAGCCGCCGCGGGAAUACGAAGGGUGCAAGCGUUACUCGGAAUUACUGGGCGUAAAGCGUGCGUAGGUGGUGGUUUAAGUCCGUUGUGAAAGCCCUGGGCUCAACCUGGGAAUUGCAGUGGAUACUGGGUCACUAGAGUGUGGUAGAGGAUAGUGGAAUUUCCGGUGUAGCAGUGAAAUGCGUAGAGAUCGGAAGGAACAUCUGUGGCGAAGGCGACUAUCUGGGCCAACACUGACGCUGAGGAGCGAAAGCGUGGGGAGCGAACAGGAUUAGAUACCCCAGUAGUCCCUGUCUCUUAUAC